GAGGCGAGGCGCAGAUCUCGUGCCGCCGCGGCCUCGCGGGAGGCGGGGGCGGCGGACGCAGCCGGCCCUUCUCAGAAAUGAUAAAUGGCUGCCAGCCCAACUUCUGAUUCAUAGGCAACUCCAUUCUACCAACAAACCACUCCUUUUGAUUUGAUAACUCCUGGCAACCUGCAUUUUGACAACCCUACUUUGGAUGAAUUUUCAAUAAAGCCAUGGUGACCAUGCUUGGGGAUUUUCAUAGUUUGAGUAAUUCCCCGGAGCUCUGCCACCCAGCAAGUUAGAGGACAAGAUUCCUCCCUGGGGAUUGUAGUUCUUGGAAUGUCAGCAGCUUGUUUUCAUGAGGUCUGCACCCUGACCUGGCCUACUGUUAGGAGCUGUUGUGUUGGUGAUUUAUGUUGUUUUUAGUUGUUUCUUCCAUCUUAUACAGUUAUUUGUAUAUAAGGAUUUUUGAAAAGUAAAUGUCUUAUGGGACUGUUUUGCGUCUACAAAGAAAAAUUAAAACUGUUUCAAAGUAA
This is a long non-coding RNA of Cervus elaphus (red deer), 515 nucleotides long. RefSeq lists it as uncharacterized. NCBI's taxonomy places the organism in Eukaryota, Metazoa, Chordata, Mammalia, Artiodactyla, Cervidae. The transcript is spliced from 4 exons. The record is from RefSeq and is a predicted model, not a curated record.